AUGCAGCAAGUGGCCAAUACAUCCAGCAACAACGCCAUAUCAAGAUGGGUCCAUCCCCCUGAAGGUAUAGCAAAAAUUCGAGUCGAUGGUGUUGUUUCAAGAGCUGCGAAGGAAGGAACCUAUAGUGCAAUAUGCAGGGACCAUCAUGGCAAAUACUUGGGCUCAUCAGCCAUCAAAGUCUCGGGUAUCACGGACCCGGGGACUCUCGAGGCGUUAGCUUGUCACGAGGCGCUUGCUCUAGCCCUGGAUCUUGGGCUGCCAAAUGUACUUGUUGCUUCAGAUUGCAAAGUUGUGGUGAACGACAUUAAGCUAGGCACGGGAGGUAUGUAUGGAAGCAUAGUGAAGCAAAUAAGAAAUACGUCCGAACAAUUUCAGUAA
This 378-nucleotide ribosomal RNA is filed under the name Triticum aestivum (bread wheat). RNAcentral describes it as "partial small subunit ribosomal RNA". Lineage: Eukaryota; Viridiplantae; Streptophyta; Magnoliopsida; Poales; Poaceae. The record is from RNAcentral.